CAUGCACUGGUGGGGUCCCUCGGCCUGGACUGUGGAGAUUGGGCCAAAAAUGGCUCUCCGACAUCCCCCAAGGGGUCCCAGAUUGCGAGAGGGUGCAGGCCAGGCUGAGGGACCCCACUGGUGCACG
Molecule: microRNA precursor, 127 nt
Filed under: Myotis davidii
Lineage: Eukaryota; Metazoa; Chordata; Mammalia; Chiroptera; Vespertilionidae
Description: mir-9193 microRNA precursor family
Source: Rfam by way of RNAcentral